AUGAAAGACCUUCGAGUAGCUGAUGUUAUCUUGAACAUCAAGCUUUUAAGAGGUUGUGAUGGUGGGAUCACUCUCUUGCAGUCUCACUAUGUGGAGAAGAUUCUGGAUCGCUUUGGACAUUCAGAUUGUAAACCUUCUCCGACACCUUAUGAUCCGAGUGUUUUAAUUUGGAAGAACGAGGGAGAAACAAAGGAUCAAUUGAGAUAUUCUCAAAUCAUUGGCUCGCUUAUGUAUUUAGCUAGUGCUACGAGGCCUGACAUCUCGUUUUCUGUGAGUAAACUAAGCCGGUUUGUUUCAAACCCAGGAGAUGUUCAUUGGCAUGCACUUGAGAGAAUAAUGCGCUAUCUGAAAGGUACUGCGAGUUAUGGGCUUCACUAUACCGGGUAUCCAAGAGUACUUGAAGGUUAUAGUGAUGCAAAUUGGAUAUCUGAUGCUGAUGAGCUUAAAGCGACAAGUGGUUAUGUGUUUACACUUGGUGGUGAUGUUGUUUCCUGGAAGUCUUGCAAGCAGACCAUCUUAACAAGGUCAACAAUGGAAGCAGAACUCACAGCAUUAGACACGGCAACAGUUGAAGCAGAAUGGCUUCGAGAACUUUUGAUGGACUUGCCGAUGGUUGAAAAACCAAUACCAGCUAUUCUAAUGAACUGUGAUAAUCAAACAGUGAUCGUCAAGGUAAACAGUUCUAAGGAUAAUAAGAAGUCAUCAAGACACGUGAGAAGGAGACUGAAAUCCGUCAGGUUCAUGAGAAACUCCGGAGUUAUAGCGUUGGACUAUAUAAACACAUCGAAGAAUCUAGCAGAUCCCUUCACAAAGGGUUUAUCACGAAAUGUGAUAGACAAUGCAUCGAAGGAGAUGGGAUUGAGACCCACUACAUAA
RNAcentral lists this ribosomal RNA (876 nucleotides) under Triticum aestivum (bread wheat). Its description in RNAcentral is "partial small subunit ribosomal RNA". Lineage: Eukaryota; Viridiplantae; Streptophyta; Magnoliopsida; Poales; Poaceae. The record is from RNAcentral.